AUUGAACGCUGGCGGCAGGCCUAACACAUGCAAGUCGAGCGGAUGAAGGGAGCUAGCUCCUGGAUUCAGCGGCGGACGGGUGAGUAAUGCCUAGGAAUCUGCCUGGUAGUGGGGGAUAACGUCCGGAAACGGGCGCUAAUACCGCAUACGUCCUGAGGGAGAAAGUGGGGGAUCUUCGGACCUCACGCUAUCAGAUGAGCCUAGGUCGGAUUAGCUAGUUGGUGGGGUAAAGGCCUACCAAGGCGACGAUCCGUAACUGGUCUGAGAGGAUGAUCAGUCACACUGGAACUGAGACACGGUCCAGACUCCUACGGGAGGCAGCAGUGGGGAAUAUUGGACAAAGGGCGAAAGCCUGAUCCAGCCAUGCCGCGUGUGUGAAGAAGGUCUUCGGAUUGUAAAGCACUUUAAGUUGGGAGGAAGGGCAGUAAGUUAAUACCUUGCUGUUUUGACGUUACCAACAGAAUAAGCACCGGCUAACUUCGUG
RNAcentral lists this ribosomal RNA (484 nucleotides) under uncultured bacterium. Its description in RNAcentral is "partial 16S ribosomal RNA". It matches the Rfam family "Bacterial small subunit ribosomal RNA", at positions 30 to 507 of the family's 1533-position model. The record is from RNAcentral.